UACAGAGGGUGCUAGCGUUGUUCGGAAUCAUUGGGCGUAAGGGCGUGUAGGCGGCAUUGCAAGGUGGAUGUGAAAUCCCUCGGCUUAACCAAGGAAGUGCAUCCGAAACUGCAGUGCUUGAGUACUUAAGAGGAUCGCGGAAUUCCCGGUGUAGAGGUGAAAUUCGUAGAUAUCGGGAGGAACACCAGUGGCGAAGGCGGCGAUCUGGGAAGAUACUGACGCUGAGGUGCGAAAGCGUGGGGAGCAAACAGG
RNAcentral lists this ribosomal RNA (252 nucleotides) under uncultured bacterium. RNAcentral describes it as "partial 16S ribosomal RNA". It matches the Rfam family "Bacterial small subunit ribosomal RNA", at positions 524 to 776 of the family's 1533-position model. The record is from RNAcentral.